GGGGUGCUUGAGUGGCGAACGGGUGAGUAACACGUGAGUAACCUGCCCUUGACUUUGGGAUAACUUCAGGAAACUGGGGCUAAUACCGGAUAGGAGCUCCUGCUGCAUGGUGGGGGUUGGAAAGUUUCGGCGGUUGGGGAUGGACUCGCGGCUUAUCAGCUUGUUGGUGGGGUAGUGGCUUACCAAGGCUUUGACGGGUAGCCGGCCUGAGAGGGUGACCGGCCACAUUGGGACUGAGAUACGGCCCAG
Molecule: ribosomal RNA, 249 nt
Filed under: uncultured Actinomycetales bacterium
Lineage: Bacteria; Bacillati; Actinomycetota; Actinomycetes; Actinomycetales
Description: partial 16S ribosomal RNA
Rfam family: Bacterial small subunit ribosomal RNA
Source: RNAcentral